Long non-coding RNA from Gossypium arboreum, 2569 nucleotides. RefSeq lists it as uncharacterized. The record is from RefSeq and is a predicted model, not a curated record. The transcript has 3 exons. Lineage: Eukaryota; Viridiplantae; Streptophyta; Magnoliopsida; Malvales; Malvaceae.
UUUCCCCAUUUGAUGCUAUUUAGUUCUUGUAAGUACUGUAAGCUAAAUCUUGCCGUCUCUGCUCCUGAAAUUUUCUUGCCUUCGUGGAUCCAUUUGUUUCUAGCCAACCAGAUAGCCCAUAUGGCGCAGAAGAAGGAUCGACAAAUAUCAGUGCUGUUGUUGUGCACAGUCUAGGUAAACCAUUCCAUGAAUUCCAUAUUUGCUACUCUUUCAGGCCAGUCAAAUUGUAAGCUAUUCCAUGUUUCCUUUGCAGCAUCGCAUUCUCGAAAGACAUGGUCUCUGUUCUCUACACCCUGCUGACAUCUCGGGCAUAUUGCAUCAUUAGUUAGUCUUUUAAUGCGUAGAUUUGAUAGAGUAGGAAGGUAGUUUAGAGUGACUCUUCAGGCUGUAAUUUUCAUUUUUGAGGGGAAGUCACUAUUCCAUAAUUUUUUGUAGUAUUCCCUAUUUCCAUUUGGGUUGUAUCUAUUACUAUUGAUGGGAUUGCCAUGUAAUAGUAGUCUGUGACUCUUCAGGCUGUAAUUUUCAUUUUUGAGGGGAAGUCACUAUUCCAUAAUUUUUUGUAGUAUUCCCUAUUUCCAUUUGGGUUGUAUCUAUUACUAUUGAUAGGAUUGCCAUGUAAUAGUAGUCUGUACCCACUUCUGACUGCAUAUUCACCUGUUGGUUCGCCUCUCCAAGCCUUAAAGUCAUCCUAUGAGCUGAAAGCAAGAAGGAUUUGGAGUAUUCUCUGAGCAUCUUCUGCGGAGAAGAUUUUCAUCCUUCGGAGCCCAGACAUCCUCUUCAAUACUAAUGUUCCAACCAUUUCCCACCCUUCAACACAUUCCCAUCCGCAAAAAGCCUUUCGUGGCCUAUAUACUUUUCCAAGUAUAUGAAGAUACUUCUUAAUUGCGCUUGCAGACUAUUCAGGUUGUAUGACUUUCUCGUCCAAACUGAACAAAUCAGCGUCAGAUUUUUUGAUGGAGUCACUAGCGAACUUUUCACUGUUAAUUAAAUUAACUCUUCUUCAAGAAGAGUGAUCUCGCUUCUAUUACCCAUUGCAUCAAAAUCACCGCUCUUCUUCUUCCCAACCACAAUAUUCACUAUUUCUUUGGGAAACCUAAGAGAGCACUCUUGACUCAGUCACUGAUGCAGUCGCUGACAGCACCAAAAAUAUCCUAUUCCCUAUAAAAUAAUGAAAAAGAACAAAAAAGGGGAAGUAGGGUCAAAUCCUUAGGGAUCGGAUUAUACGAAUGCUUGUUUUUCGAAAUCCUCGGCAGAAUCGUGCCCAAGAAAACCUGCGUGACAGAAAAAAAAAUAGAGUUAAAGAUUUGAUUUAGAAAAAAUAAAAAAACAGAAUCUAAACUUGACUGAAAUUGUGAUUACAAAAAUAAUAAAAAUAAUAAAAAGAGUUGAAGGAAAAGAAAUUCUUAUUGGUAGAUUCCAGCCUCCAGUUGUCUCAUUUCUACUUGGGUUCGAUCCUUGGCUUUUAAAUGACCCUUCUCAACUCAAGUAAGCAGUUAUAGUGGAAGAGGACACCUACGACCACUAGUUCUAAAGAUUAGACUUUCGAUUUUUAGGGAACCUGACUUUAGCCAGUAAUCUAUGCUAGAUCAACGCUUCUCAAUGGCGAAUCUCACGCCAUUUCGUCUCUUUGGCUCGCCAACCUCUGACGCAGUAAGUUAACGAACUGACUAUGCAAUCCUUCUAAAACAUACAAAGCGACCACCUUUGCAUAUGUUGAAAAGCUUACUUCUUAAGGGCGAUGGACAGAAGUGUCAGCCCAUAGUGUGAAGAAACGAUGAAUACUUGGCGAGAAGGUUAAGUACGAAUUCUAGGCGUCAAGAACCCUUUUUGGGGAUUAUUGACAACUUUCGGCUAGAUAGGUUUUAGUGGCUCAUGAUAAUGGUGGAAAAAGAAAUAAAUAUAAAAAUAGAAAAGGGAAUUUUAUUGAAAGAAAAUAUGAAGCAACAAAAGCCUAGACUUUCAGGGCGAGAGUGUUUACAGUAAAAGAUGAACACCAAAUAGAGUCACUUCACCCCCUAUUUAUAGUGCUAGGGAGAUAGUCUAAUUUAACUUAAAUUCUAAAAAGAUAAAUACAUUUAAUUAAAGAUAACUAAAGAUAAUUACAAUAAAAUCCUAAAAUUAAAUAAUCCUAAUAAUUAUCUUAAUAGUAAUUAUCCUAAUAUAAAUAAAAUGGAGUCUUAUAAAGUAAAAUCUUUUCUUUUUGCGUUUUUAGUACUUGUGUCUUCCAUGCUCACAUUUUUGGCACAAUCUUUUUCCUGUGUCGCAUAUCAGCCCAUUAUGUCUCCAAAUUCGCACUUUUGUCCCUUAAUUUUGCUUUUUGCCUCCAAAUCAGUCUCUAAUCGAUAAAAAGACAUAAAUAGCUCAAAUUAGUAGGAUCAAGCUCAGAAUAAACACAUGAUUAAUACAUAAAAAUACGUUAUUCUAGAGCAUUAUCAGUCACAUAUAAAAAUUUUAACUUUGGAUGAUGAAUGAUAUUUUUGUUUCAAAUGUAAUUGGAGUUUUCUUAAAACAAACAUCCCUUUUGAAACUUUAAUCUAAAUAUAUGUAAUAUUUUAAUUUGUUAGGUUUA